RNAcentral lists this long non-coding RNA (223 nucleotides) under Homo sapiens (human). RNAcentral's name for it is "non-protein coding lnc-TCTEX1D1-2:1". The record is from RNAcentral. Lineage: Eukaryota; Metazoa; Chordata; Mammalia; Primates; Hominidae.
UUAAAGAAUAUUCACUCAUUUAUUUUUGCAUUCAGUGCUUCACAACCAGUCCAUGAGCUCUUCUAGCUACAAGCCCUUGUGCUGGAAUUAUGGAGGUGAAAUAAUAAAACUCCUGCCUUCCAGUAAUUCACAAGAAAUAGAAGAAUAGAAGAAAGAGAAGAGUUCGGCACUUCCUAUGCAAAGCAUCCUGUAGCAAAGGCAAUGGUAGAAUUGCAAAAAUGUU